AGGACGAACGCUGGCGGCGUGCUUAACACAUGCAAGUCGAGCGGUAAGGCCUUUCGGGGUACACGAGCGGCGAACGGGUGAGUAACACGUGGGUGAUCUGCCCUGCACUCUGGGAUAAGCCUGGGAAACUGGGUCUAAUACCGGAUAUGACCUGCUCUCGCAUGGGGGUGGGUGGAAAGAUUUAUCGGUGCAGGAUGGGCCCGCGGCCUAUCAGCUUGUUGGUGGGGUAAUCGGCCUACCAAGGCGACGGACGGGUAGCCGACCUGAGAGGGUGACCGGCACACUGGGACUGGAGACCACGGGCCCAGUACCGUCCUAACGGGGCGGCAGGACAGGUAGGGGGAAUUAGUUGCAACGAAGUGGGACGAAAGCCUAGAUGCAGCCGACGGCCGCGUAGGA
Molecule: ribosomal RNA, 399 nt
Filed under: uncultured soil bacterium
Lineage: Bacteria
Description: bacterial SSU rRNA
Rfam family: Bacterial small subunit ribosomal RNA
Source: RNAcentral